This 297-nucleotide ribosomal RNA is filed under the name uncultured bacterium. RNAcentral describes it as "partial 16S ribosomal RNA". It matches the Rfam family "Bacterial small subunit ribosomal RNA", at positions 28 to 325 of the family's 1533-position model. The record is from RNAcentral.
GACGAACGCUGGCGGCGUGCUUAACACAUGCAAGUCGAGCGGUAAGGCCCUUUCGGGGGUACACGAGCGGCGAACGGGUGAGUAACACGUGGGUGACCUGCCCUCAGCUCUGGGAUAAGCCUGGGAAACCGGGUCUAAUACCGGAUAUGACUCCAUGACGCAUGUUGUGGGGUGGAAAGCCUUGUGCGGCUGAGGAUGGGCCCGCGGCCUAUCAGCUUGUUGGUGGGGUGANGGGCCUACCAAGGCGACGACGGGUAGCCGGCCUGAGAGGGCGACCGGCCACACUGGGACUGAGAC